Molecule: small RNA, 1967 nt
Filed under: Histoplasma capsulatum var. duboisii H88
Lineage: Eukaryota; Fungi; Ascomycota; Eurotiomycetes; Onygenales; Ajellomycetaceae
Description: Histoplasma capsulatum H88 hypothetical RNA
Source: RNAcentral
UGUAAGAUAAGUCGACCGUAUUCUGAUGGGCAACAACUCCUUGGAGAGUCGCAUAGCAAGGCUUGUCCACUCGCAUUUUGACGCCCUGCCGAAACGCAGCAAACCAACAAUCCAUCCUGAUGGAUCGAGGCAAUGGGUACCCCUGAGCGGUAUUGUACUUGCCAUUGGGGAGAAUACACAGGAUGAGAUUUUAACUUGUGUAGCUAUCGCAACAGGGGCGAAAUGCCUCUCAUCUUCUCAAAUGAAACAAUGCCGCGGCAUGGUAUUGCAUGAUAGCCACGCUGAAAUCUUAGCGAUUCGGGCUUUCAACCACUGGCUGCUUGAAGAAUGCAAAUCCCUGCUUCAACAGAGGGUAGGCUCUUCUAAUUAUGAAUUUGACCGUGGGAGCAUUGGAACCAACGAGGCCAGCGACAACUAUGGCGCGGGGGCAUAUCCAGCCCACGAAGGGAUGUCUGAUAAGCAAGCAUCGGUGUUCAUAAAUUGGAGACAUCGGCCGGAAAUGCAGGAAACGCAGGAAACGCCAGCUCCAUACAACCUCUCUAGAACUUCAGAUAUCAAUCACUUGGCGAAGACAAAAUUUUCAUGGCCGCCCUUCGAACUCCGUAAGGACCUAAAAAUAUAUAUGUACGGAACCUGUGCUCCUUGUGGCGAUGCCAGCAUGGAGCUUUGCAUGGCCUCUCAAGAGGAUCCGACACCAUGGACGAUGCCUCACCUGAAAGCCGAUAACGACCUCGAAAUCUCCAAUAGCAAUGAUUGCGAUACCAAUGGAGCAAAUAAUACUUCACACCGCGCCACGAAGCUUCUAAACGGCCGCGCUCACUUCUCCAUACUCGGUGCUGUGCGCCGCAAGCCUUCUCGUGCCGACGCGGAAUCAACUCUGAGCAAAUCUUGCUCAGACAAAUUGGCAGUGAAGCAGGUGACAUCGCUUCUGACAUUUCCAGCGUGCCUACUCAUUGCCCCGAGCCCAAAUGCUUAUUUGACAACACUGCUGCUUCCGGAGGAGGAAAUAAGUCGUGUGGCAUGCGCGAGAGCUUUUGGGAGUGGUGAAACUGGGCGGCUUAGAGCAUUAAAUGGGCGGAUAUGGAGCGAUGAUGAUGGAACGACUGCGUUUCUAGGUGGGCGGGUAAAUUAUGCACUCCACCCGUUUGACGUUCGUCCCGUCCCCACCGUUCAGUUCCAAGAGGAGUGGGCGUUUGGGAAGCCGAACCGAAACGAUGGGAAGAUGAAGAAGAAAUGCAAAUCGGGAAAUAUCUCUGCCGUUUGGACAGCUGCUCCAUCAUCUACAUCGGCGAACGGGGGAUGUGGGAAAGCAAAAUCAACGACCAACCUAAAUGAAACUCUGGUCAAUGGCGUUAAACAAGGUUACCACAUUUCUUCGCCCUCACCACGGAAAGCAAGCGCGCUGUCCCGCGCAAAGAUGUGGAGUUUACUAAGGGAUAUUGCGCAACUUUUGCCCUCCGCUGAUGAGUAUUGUGGGAAUAAUACGAGCACAAUCCAGGAAGGUAAACUCGAGGAACAUAUGAGUACCGAGAGAGCGUUGGAUAAUACACAAGAUAAUGCACUACUUGCGACAUUAAAAGACUAUGUGCUCAUAGAGCAAAAUUAUUAUCUGAUGAAGCGGGGAUGUGUCGAAGUGGGCCUCGGUCCCGUGAAGGUUAGAAAGGAGGUGAUUUCGGAUGUGAGGGAGGCGCUUGGAAACUGGGUUGAGAAUCGGGGGGAUGAUAACUGGGGCUUGGAGGUUUUGAAUGAACUCAAAGCCGGAAUGGUUGUGGGAAGGGUGUAACAUAUUUACAUCACAUGCUGUAGAGAGAGGGCAUGUGUCAAGUAAAAUAAUAUUCAAUAUUGUGUCAAGUUAUCAAUACAUUUAACUAGCUAUUGAUUUUAAUAGGGUUUACUAUAGAUCAGUCAGAACUCCACACCUUCUCGAGAGGGAUGGAUAAUUACACCCGGUGCCUAAUUAAACCUGG